Molecule: unclassified non-coding RNA, 364 nt
Filed under: uncultured soil eukaryote
Lineage: Eukaryota
Description: sequence contains 5.8S rRNA gene, ITS2, 28S rRNA gene
Rfam family: 5.8S ribosomal RNA (bases 1-52)
Source: RNAcentral
AACGCAAAUUGCACUGUUGGGUCCUCCCAGCAGUAUGUCUGUUUGAGUGUCAGCACUUACUAUAAUCAUCAUUUGAUGCAUUGUUGAUACUUUAUGAUGAUGAUGAUGAAUGAUCAUCAUAAUGUAUUUAAGUAUAUUGAUCAUUGAUAAAUUGUGCAGGAAGAAAUUAGGUUAUUCAUUAUUUUCAUGUGGUAUAACCUUUGCUUACAUGCAUUAAGCAAGAGCAAAGGGCUAUAUGAUUUUCUAAUGAUAAUUUUUCCUUUUUUCCCUCUAAUUUUAUCUAUUUUUAUACUACUACUAGUAGUACUACUACCAAAAUUAACAACUUGACCUCAAAUUAGACAAGGCUACCCGCUGAAUUUAA